UUAGUAAAGAGUAAGAUACUUUUAGUUUAACAUAAAACAGCCCCGAAAUCACCAUCGCCAAACCCACCAGACUCCAUGUAAAUAACCACUACUUUUAGCGUGUAUAGGAAAGCAUAUCUCCACCAGACUCCAUGUAAAUAAUCACUACUUUUAGCGUGUAU
This is a long non-coding RNA of Etheostoma spectabile (orangethroat darter), 161 nucleotides long. RefSeq lists it as uncharacterized. The record is from RefSeq and is a predicted model, not a curated record. Lineage: Eukaryota; Metazoa; Chordata; Actinopteri; Perciformes; Percidae. The transcript is spliced from 5 exons.